AUGCACGCUGGCGGCGUGCUUAACACAUGCCAGUCGAACGAAGCACUUUAUUUGAUUUCCUUCGGGACUGAUUAUUUUGUGACUGAGUGGCGGACGGGUGAGUAACGCGUGGGUAACCUGCCUUGUACAGGGGGAUAACAGUUGGAAACGGCUGCUAAUACCGCAUAAGCGCACAGCAUCGCAUGAUGCAGUGUGAAAAACUCCGGUGGUAUAAGAUGGACCCGCGUUGGAUUAGCUAGUUGGUGAGGUAACGGCCCACCAAGGCGACGAUCCAUAGCCGACCUGAGAGGGUGACCGGCCACAUUGGGACUGAGACACGGCCCAAACUCCUACGGGAGGCAGCAGUGGGGAAUAUUGCACAAUGGGCGAAAGCCUGAUGCAGCGACGCCGCGUGAGCGAAGAAGUAUUUCGGUAUGUAAAGCUCUAUAAGCAGGGAAGAUAAUGACGGUACCUGACGAAGAAGCACCGGCUAAAUACGUG
Molecule: ribosomal RNA, 480 nt
Filed under: uncultured bacterium
Lineage: Bacteria
Description: partial 16S ribosomal RNA
Rfam family: Bacterial small subunit ribosomal RNA
Source: RNAcentral